AGCAUCAUCAGCGAAGCGGCAGCUCCCAGAAGGGCCUAUUACCGGGCUGCUUUAGAUGAAGUUCCGGAAGACAUCUUGAACAAUGGAAGACCACAUGCGCGGCCGUAGCUAUGGUUACUCCUCACUCCCACGUUCAUGCCACAGCAGAUUCGCCUUACUCUCUACAUUUGUCAUUAAUGAAACAUUGCAUUUGAGAAGAUGACACCAAGAAGGAGAAGAAUAAUCAGUUUUCUCCAAUGGAGUGACACAGGGGAUAUCAACUCUAGGACGGGCCUCAUCUUCAGAAGUAACUGACCAGCAUAUAAUGGACUCCAUGGGCUUUUGUGGGCUUUUAUUUGGUUACAGUUCCAUGUUUUGCUGUUUUUUUUUUCUUGGAGGGAUGGCGUCUGACCAUGGAGCAGUAGACCUGAAUCUGUGGGCAGUGGCCGGUCUCACUGCACCCACAUCAACAGUAUCGGGGACCUGGUUAGAGAUGUGGUGCUGACGCUCCUCAGGCCUACUAAAUAGGACUGAGCUAAUGGAAUUCUCAGAUGACCACUUCUCAUUAAAGUUGGAAAAAAAUGUGUUCUGGAGGAAAACCAGGUAAAGUAAAGACCCAUUUAAUACCAGUGGUACUAAUGAACAGUUUCAUUGUUCUUGAAAUAGGCCAUUCAGUGAUCUAAUUAUUGUCACAUGUUUACUACCUUGAACAAUCCUGUGAAACGAGGGUUUAUGUUACAUUCACUUUGCAGGUAUAGACGUUGAGGCAGCAGACAGAAGAGGUUCAGUGCCUUUCAUCCACAAAGUGGACUAUAGGGGCAUACAACACCUUAAGAGACAUGGGUGGCUAUGACCGGUCCUCCAAUCAGGGGAGUCUCUUGGUCGGAAGGUGCCUUUGAGCUAGCCUGGCUCAUGGAUAGUGCUGGGAGAACAAGGUGGAUUCACACUUAAAAUUUUUUUCUGUUUCAUCGGAAAAGAAAAGUGUGUUCUUUCUUAAUUACAUAAUUAAAGGAACAUGACUUUAAUAAUUACCUGUUCUAAACCUCCAUAUUUUUAGAUAUGUAUUUAAGUUUUUCUUCCUCCUUUUUUUCCCUCAGUCUAUAAUGGAAGGCUUUUGCUUCUGAACAGUAGCAUUGUUCUGAGCAGUGUUGUUCACAAACUCUCACCAUCAUGUUAAUCUUAAGCUCUAGGCUAGGACCAUGUCUACCUACCUUUGGGCCGUGUGUGUGUGUGUGUGUGUGUGUGUGUGUGUGUGUGUGUGUGUGUGUGUGUUAAUGCUGGUGGUCACACUGCCUAGCCUACCCUCAGAUCUGUGAUAAUCAUCCUGCUUCAACAGGAUGUGAACCA
This 1326-nucleotide small RNA is filed under the name Rattus norvegicus (Norway rat). Its description in RNAcentral is "uncharacterized LOC108349823". Lineage: Eukaryota; Metazoa; Chordata; Mammalia; Rodentia; Muridae. The record is from RNAcentral.